GUAGGUGGCAAGCGUUGUCCGGAAUUAUUGGGCGUAAAGCGCGCGCAGGCGGUCCUUUAAGUCUGAUGUGAAAGCCCACGGCUCAACCGUGGAGGGUCAUUGGAAACUGGGGGACUUGAGUACAGAAGAGGAAAGCGGAAUUCCAAGUGUAGCGGUGAAAUGCGUAGAGAUUUGGAGGAACACCAGUGGCGAAGGCGGCUUUCUGGUCUGUAACUGACGCUGAGGCGCGAAAGCGUGGGGAGCAAACAGGAUUAGAUACCCUGGUAGUCCACGCCGUAAACGAUGAGUGCUAAGUGUUAGGGGGUUUCCCGCCCCCUUAGUGCUGCAGCCAACGCAUUAAGCACUCCGCCUGGGGAGUACGGCCGCAAGGCUG
This 373-nucleotide ribosomal RNA is filed under the name uncultured organism. RNAcentral describes it as "partial 16S ribosomal RNA". It matches the Rfam family "Bacterial small subunit ribosomal RNA", at positions 527 to 896 of the family's 1533-position model. The record is from RNAcentral.